Molecule: non-coding RNA, 73 nt
Filed under: Aurantiochytrium limacinum
Lineage: Eukaryota; Bigyra; Thraustochytrida; Thraustochytriidae
Source: RNAcentral
AACUCGUUUUUGGUGAUCAUUAUUUGUGAUUAUUAUUAGUUAUUCCUUUGGUCCACAACUAUUCGUUCUUUGA